RNAcentral lists this long non-coding RNA (1379 nucleotides) under Lactuca sativa (garden lettuce). RNAcentral's name for it is "long non-coding RNA (LSAT_LNC004082)". The record is from RNAcentral. Lineage: Eukaryota; Viridiplantae; Streptophyta; Magnoliopsida; Asterales; Asteraceae.
AAGAAAAGUGAAGAAACUUAAAGAAAGAAUAUGCUGAAUCUGAUGGCGUAGAUGGAUUUCUAUCGCAUAGUUUGAAGAUCGGAUUCUUGAGCUACUUCUUAGGAGUUAUGAGAUAUUGCUUAGGAAUAGAUAACAACAAGUUUUCAUAUGGAUUGUAAGGAUUAGUUUUUCCGCAAAGUUUUAAAAUAAAAGAAAAUUUUUGAUUUUAUUUAUUUUAAAAUAUCCUUACAAUGGCAUUUGAGGAAAAAUUGUUGCUUAUAUGAUUCCAUUAAUAGCAAGAGUGGAAAUAUGAAAUUGAUUCUUUCAUUUGUGGUAAUGUCUAAAUUUACCAAAUAAGGAAAGAUUCUCAUCACCCAAGUUUCAAUUGGACCGAAACUUGGAAUCAUGCAAGUUGUAUAGCAUGAUGAAUGAGAACUUUCAAGUUUUGGAAAAUUAAGACUAAUUACUUGUUCACAUGGAUGUGUGAGUCAAGUAAAGGACUAAGGGAUCGAGUACACAUUCUUGUGCACUGAUUAAGUCCACCACAAAAGAUUGAUAAGAUUAUUCGUCAUAGUUUACUAAAGCUCAGUAAACAUGAUUAUACUUACAAGCUUAAGUGUAACUCUGAGACAUUGGAAAAGGUUCCAAUGUAUGGCAGAACGAAUAAGAAGAAUCAAAUUAGGCAGAAGGAUAAAAGUUCAAAUCUGAAAAGAUGGGAGAGUACUUUAGUAUCAAUUUUGUGAUCAUCUUAAUGAUUAAGAAACCAUAGCACAAUUACUUCUCUAAGGAAAUCUUAGUGCAUUCUUAUGACUAAGAAGAGGGAUCUUGAAUUGUUGAAAUGGUUAAAUCAAGAAGAUGAGUCAUACUUCGUUCCAAUACAAGUCUUAGAGUCAUACUCCAAGAUUGUAACUUGAGUGACAUGUCUUCAAGAAACACUUGUCAAAUGUAAGAGUAAAAGUUUUCUACUCUUGUACAUUUGAAAUUGGUAAGUUGUGAUGUUUUGGAUAAAACAAAGACCAACUUAGGCUAAUUGUGUGAAGUGUUUGUCUUGGUUAGAAUCCACACUAUCUCUUGAAUAACUGACAAGAAAGUCUUAUAGGUCAAGAGGACAGUGGGAGUCUUAAAGGUCUUGAAAGUCUCAAGAACUAAUCAAGAAUAAAACCUGAAGUUCUUCACUAGCACACGACUUGAGGUUUAUAACCUAUCGUGUUGACAUAUUUUGUGCCCAUUCCAGUUAAGGUUGGCUUUGCAUAUGAGUUCUUAGAGUUUUGUGCCUAUUCCAGUUAAGGUUGGCUUUGCAUAUGAGUUCUUAGAGUUCUCAAUUGGUUGCACAACAACUUGGAAGCAAUGGCAUGCCCUUGAGCUACCAGGUGGCAAGAAAUUAAGAUUGAGUUCAUUCC